GUUUAUAUAUUUAAAUUAUAAAAUUUAAUUUGCAUUUAAAAGUUGAAUGA
Molecule: transfer RNA, 50 nt
Filed under: Epiperipatus biolleyi
Lineage: Eukaryota; Metazoa; Onychophora; Udeonychophora; Euonychophora; Peripatidae
Description: tRNA-Ala
Source: RNAcentral